This 253-nucleotide ribosomal RNA is filed under the name uncultured bacterium. RNAcentral's name for it is "partial 16S ribosomal RNA". It matches the Rfam family "Bacterial small subunit ribosomal RNA", at positions 524 to 776 of the family's 1533-position model. The record is from RNAcentral.
UACGAAGGGGGCUAGCGUUGUUCGGAAUCACUGGGCGUAAAGCGCACGUAGGCGGAUAUGCCAGUCAGGGGUGAAAUCCCGGAGCUCAACUCCGGAACUGCCUUUGAUACAGCAUAUCUUAAGUCCGGAAGAGGUGGGUGGAAUUCCUAGUGUAGAGGUGAAAUUCGUAGAUAUUAGGAAGAACACCGGUGGCGAAGGCGGCCCACUGGUCCGGUACUGACGCUGAGGUGCGAAAGCGUGGGGAGCAAACAGG